ACCAGACUCCUACGGGAGGCAGCAGUGGGGCCUCUUGGGCAAUGGGCGCCCGCCUGACCCAGCCCCGCCGCGUGCCGGCAGAAGGCUUUCGGGUUGUAAACUUCUUUUCUCAGGGACGCAGCAAGUGACGGUCCCUGAGGAAUACGCCACGGCUAACUACGUGCCAGCAGCCGCGGUAAUACGUAGGUGGCAAGCGUUGUCCGGAUUUACUGGGUGUAAAGGGCGUGUAGCCGGGCUGACAAGUCAGAUGUGAAAUCCGGGGGCUCAACCCCCGAACUGCAUUUGAAACUGUUGGUCUUGAGUAUCGGAGAGGCAGGCGGAAUUCCUAGUGUAGCGGUGAAAUGCGUAGAUAUUAGGAGGAACACCAGUGGCGAAGGCGGCCUGCUGGACGACAACUGACGGUGAGGCGCGAAAGCGUGGGGAGCAAACAGGAUUAGAUACCCGAGUA
Molecule: ribosomal RNA, 448 nt
Filed under: uncultured bacterium
Lineage: Bacteria
Description: bacterial SSU rRNA
Rfam family: Bacterial small subunit ribosomal RNA
Source: RNAcentral